ACAUGGAGCAGGCAGUUUUACGCCCCAAGCAGUUUUGCGCCCCAGGCAGUUUUACACCCCUGUUUUUACUUAUUUGUCCAGUAGGGGGGACUGUACAUUAAGAACCACCAGAACAGACCUAAGAACAGAUAACUUAAUCGUCCAUCACGAGUUAUGGUAAAUAAACGUUUUCAGGCAAUCGUCCAACAUGUAUAGUUUUAAAUGAUUCAUUGAUAUCGAUAUGAAUUCAUUUCAACAUCUAAAAAGAUAUGUACGUCCAUCAUCAGUGGCCAAAAGAAAUCAAAGUGGCUUGACAUAUUUUGCAAUCCUUCUGCCAAGACCAUGCUUGUUUGUGCCUGUGUACGUUGACAAUCAGGACCAAACUGAUGACCUACUUUCACCUCACUUCAUUUCUGGACAGGACACCCUCACAGACUCACAGUGACACAAUCAAGUUUAUUAUGGAUGUCCUUUUUCCAGAGUCCAACAUCUGUUCCCUUGCUGGUUUGGAAAAUCUCACCAUGCUGGAGGCUGAGGAGAAAUUUCUACAAGUCAUUGACAUAAGGUAUGUAAGGAUGCUAUAAAGGAGAAAUGGUCAAGCAUGACAUCCUGCCAUUAUUUCCAAUAACAAUUUUCUCUACAACUUUAAACUUUCUUUUAUCAGUGAGCGGGAGCAGUUUGACAGGAGGAUUAAGAACAUUUUGAAGAAGAGUGAGUCAUUAUCCCCAUAGGAGUCAUUAUCGAGAGCCAUCCUAUAAUGAUCAUCAAUCCUGUUUUUGAUAAUGGUCUUAAUAAAUAAUGUUGU
Molecule: long non-coding RNA, 784 nt
Organism: Triplophysa rosa
Lineage: Eukaryota; Metazoa; Chordata; Actinopteri; Cypriniformes; Nemacheilidae
Exons: 3
Source: RefSeq, a predicted model, not a curated record